This 263-nucleotide unclassified non-coding RNA is filed under the name uncultured fungus. RNAcentral's name for it is "partial contains small subunit ribosomal RNA, internal transcribed spacer 1, and 5.8S ribosomal RNA". The stretch from base 1 to 73 matches the Rfam family "Eukaryotic small subunit ribosomal RNA", at positions 1759 to 1831 of the family's 1831-position model. Lineage: Eukaryota; Fungi. The record is from RNAcentral.
GCAAACUUGGUCAUUUAGAGGAAGUAAAAGUCGUAACAAGGUCUCCGUUGGUGAACCAGCGGAGGGAUCAUUACAGAGUUUACAACUCCCAAACCCCUGUGAACAUACCAUUAUCGUUGCCUCGGCGGUGUCUCUGCUUCUGCUGAGCCCGCCAGAGGACCCAACAAACUCUUGUUUUAGAAGUAUUAUCUGAGUGACAAGUUUAAUAAAUCAAAACUUUCAACAACGGAUCUCUUGGUUCUGGCAUCGAUGAAGAACGCAGC